RNAcentral lists this ribosomal RNA (160 nucleotides) under uncultured bacterium. RNAcentral's name for it is "partial 16S ribosomal RNA". It matches the Rfam family "Bacterial small subunit ribosomal RNA", at positions 355 to 507 of the family's 1533-position model. The record is from RNAcentral.
UGGGGAAUUUUGGACAAUGGGCGCAAGCCUGAUCCAGCAAUGCCGCGUGAGUGAAGAAGGCCUUCGGGUUGUAAAGCUCUUUUGUCAGGGAAGAAACGGUGAGGGCUAAUAUCCCUUGCUAAUGACGGUGCCUGAAGAAUAUGCACCGGCUAACUACGUG